This 252-nucleotide ribosomal RNA is filed under the name uncultured bacterium. RNAcentral's name for it is "partial 16S ribosomal RNA". It matches the Rfam family "Bacterial small subunit ribosomal RNA", at positions 524 to 776 of the family's 1533-position model. The record is from RNAcentral.
GACAUAGGUUGCGAGCGUUAUUCGGAAUUACUAGGCGUAAAGCGAGUGUAGGCGGACGAUUAAGUUCGAUGUUAAAUCUCCCGGCUUAACUGGGAAUCGCAUCGAAUACUGGUCGCCUCGAGUGGGGUAGGGGGCAGCGGAAUUCCCGGUGUAGCGGUGAAAUGCGUAGAGAUCGGGAAGAACAUCGGUGGCGAAAGCGCUCUACUGGACCGCAACUGACACUCAGGGACGAAAGCUAGGGGAGCAAACAGG